GAUGAACGCUGGCGGCGUGCCUAAUACAUGCAAGUCGAGCGAACGGACGAUAAGCUUGCGUCGCUGAUGUUAGCGGCGGACGUGUGAGUAACACGUGUAUAACCUACCUAUAAUACUGGUAUAACUUCGGGAAACCGGCGCUAAUACCGGAGAAGAUUUUGAACCACAUUGUUCAAAAGUGAAAGACGGUCUUGCGGUCACGUAUAGAUGGAUCUGCGCUGCAUUAGCUAGUUGGUAAGGUAACGGAUUACCAAGGCAACGAUGCAUAGCCGAACUGAGAGGGUGAUCGGCCACACUGGAAGUGAGACACGGUACAGACUCAUACGGGAGGCAGCAGUAGGGAAACUUCCGCAAAGGGCGAAAGCCUGACGGAGCAACGCCGAGUGAGUGAUGAAGGUCUUCGGAUCGUAAAACUCUGUUAUUAGGGAAGAAAAUAUGUGUAAGUAACUGUGAACAUCUUGAAGGUACAUAAUCAGAGAGCCACGGCUAAACAAGUG
This 497-nucleotide ribosomal RNA is filed under the name uncultured bacterium. Its description in RNAcentral is "partial 16S ribosomal RNA". It matches the Rfam family "Bacterial small subunit ribosomal RNA", at positions 28 to 507 of the family's 1533-position model. The record is from RNAcentral.